Molecule: ribosomal RNA, 806 nt
Filed under: uncultured fungus
Lineage: Eukaryota; Fungi
Description: eukaryotic LSU rRNA
Rfam family: Eukaryotic large subunit ribosomal RNA
Source: RNAcentral
GAACUUAAGCAUAUCAAUAAGCGGAGGAAAAGAAACUAACAAGGAUUCCCCUAGUAACUGCGAGUGAAGCGGGAAAAGCUCAAAUUUAAAAUCUGGCGUGCCUCUGGUCGUCCGAGUUGUAGUUUAGAGAAGCGUUUUCUGUGUUGGACCGUGUAUAAGUCUCUUGGAACAGGGCGUCGUAGAGGGUGAGAAUCCCGUCUUUGACACGGACUACCAAUGCUUUGUGAUACGCUCUCAAAGAGUCGAGUUGUUUGGGAAUGCAGCUCAAAAUGGGUGGUAAAUUCCAUCUAAAGCUAAAUAUAGGCGAGAGACCGAUAGCGAACAAGUACCGUGAGGGAAAGAUGAAAAGCACUUUGGAAAGAGAGUUAAACAGUACGUGAAAUUGCUGAAAGGGAAACGCUUGAAGUCAGUCACGUCUGCCAGGACUCAGCCUUGCUUCUGCUUGGUGUACUUUCUGGUUGGAUGGGCCAACAUCGAUUUCGACCGUUGGAGAAAGGCUUUGGGAAUGUGGCACCUUCGGGUGUGUUAUAGCCCUUUGUCGUAUACAAUGGUUGGGAUCGAGGACUGCAGCAUGCCUUCAUGGCCGGGGUUCGCCCACGUACAUGCUUAGGAUGUUGGCAUAAUGGCUUUAAGCGACCCGUCUUGAAACACGGACCAAGGAGUCUAACAUGCCUGCGAGUGUUUGGGUGGAAAACCCAUGCGCGUAAUGAAAGUGAUAGCUGAGAUCCUCUCAUCAGGAGCAUCAGCGCCUGGACUUGAUCUACGGAGACGGUUCUACGGUAGAGCAUGUAUGUUGGGACCCGAAA